RNAcentral lists this ribosomal RNA (491 nucleotides) under uncultured bacterium. RNAcentral describes it as "partial 16S ribosomal RNA". It matches the Rfam family "Bacterial small subunit ribosomal RNA", at positions 29 to 506 of the family's 1533-position model. The record is from RNAcentral.
AGUGAACGCUGGCGGUAGGCCUAACACAUGCAAGUCGAACGGCAGCACAGUAAGAGCUUGCUCUUACGGGUGGCGAGUGGCGGACGGGUGAGGAAUACAUCGGAAUCUACUUUUUCGUGGGGGAUAACGUAGGGAAACUUACGCUAAUACCGCAUACGACCUACGGGUGAAAGCAGGGGAUCUUCGGACCUUGCGCGAUUGAAUGAGCCGAUGUCGGAUUAGCUAGUUGGCGGGGUAAAGGCCCACCAAGGCGACGAUCCGUAGCUGGUCUGAGAGGAGGAUCAGCCACACUGGAGCUGAGACACGGUCCAGACUCCUACGGGAGGCAGCAGUGGGGAAUAUUGGACAAUGGGCGCAAGCCUGAUCCAGCCAUACCGCGUGGGUGAAGAAGGCCUUCGGGUUGUAAAGCCCUUUUGUUGGGAAAGAAAAGCAGCAGGUUAAUACCCCGCUGUUCUGACGGUACCCAAAGAAUAAGCACCGGCUAACUUCGU